This 817-nucleotide ribosomal RNA is filed under the name uncultured bacterium. RNAcentral's name for it is "bacterial SSU rRNA". It matches the Rfam family "Bacterial small subunit ribosomal RNA", at positions 627 to 1444 of the family's 1533-position model. The record is from RNAcentral.
UGGAAACUGUNUGACUUGAGUGCAGAAGGGGAGAGUGGAAUUCCAUGUGUAGCGGUGAAAUGCGUAGAUAUAUGGAGGANCACCAGUGGCGAAAGCGGCUCUCUGGUCUGUCACUGACGCUGAGGCUCGAAAGCGUGGGUAGCGAACAGGAUUAGAUACCCUGGUAGUNCACGCCGUAAACGAUGAGUGCUAGGUGUUAGGCCCUUUCCGUGGCUUAGUGCCGGAGCUAACGCAAUAAGCACUCCGCCUGGGGAGUACGACCGCAAGGUUGAAACUCAAAGGAAUUGACGGGGGCCCGCACAAGCGGUGGAGCAUGUGGUUUAAUUCGAAGCAACGCGAAGAACCUUACCAGGUCUUGACAUCCCGAUGCUAUUCUUAGAGAUAGGAAGUUACUUCGGUACAUCGGAGACAGGUGGUGCAUGGUUGUCGUCAGCUCGUGUCGUGAGAUGUUGGGUUAAGUCCCGCAACGAGCGCAACCCUUAUUGUUAGUUGCCAUCAUUAAGUUGGGCACUCUAGCGAGACUGCCGGUAAUAAACCGGAGGAAGGUGGUGAUGACGUCAAAUCAUCAUGCCCCUUAUGACCUGGGCUACACACGUGCUACAAUGGUCGGUACAACGAGUUGCGAGCCGGUAACGGCAAGCUAAUCUCUGAAAGCCGAUCUCAGUUCGGAUUGGAGGCUGCAACUCGCCUCCAUGAAGUCGGAAUCGCUAGUAAUCGCGGAUCAGCACGCCGCGGUGAAUACGUUCCCGGGCCUUGUACACACCGCCCGUCACACCACGAGAGUUUGUAACACCCGAAGUCGGUGAGGUAACCUUUU